CCUAAAAUUUAGCCUUAAUUUUCUUAAUAAAGUCUACAUAUUAUAUCAUAUAAAAUAAAACAUUCUAUCUCUUUAGUAAAGGCGAUCGAAACGGUUCUAAGCGCUAUAGAAACAGUACCGCAAGGGAAAUAAUGAAAUAUAAGUUAAAUAACUAAAGCCACUUACAGCAGAGAAUUUACCUCGUACCUUUUGCAUCAUGGCCCAGCAAGAUAAAUUAAGCAAAACGGAAUUUAAGUUCACAUCCCCGAAACUAGGUGAGCUACUUCAAAACAGCCUCUCGAGCCAACCCAUCUCUGUAGCAAUAGGGUGGGAAGAUUUUUAAGUAGAAGUGAAAAGCCUAUCGAACCUAGAAAUAGCUGGUUAUUUAUGAAAAGAAUAUGAGUUCUGCCUUAAGGUUUUUAAUGAAUACAAACAACAAUAUAGACUUAAGAGUUAUUUAAAUAAGGUACAGCUUAUUUAAAACCGGAUACAACCAACACAAAAGGGUAAACCUUGACUAUCUAAUAAGUGGGCUGGAAAGCAGCCACCUUUCAAAAAGCGUUAAAGCUUGAUGUUUUAGUUAUAAAGAUACCACUAAUCACACUGAACCCUUAUUUCAUAAUGAAUGACUCCAUACUACUAUGGAAGACACCAUGUUGGGAUUAGUAACAAGAAAAUAUUCUCCAAAAUGCAAGCAUAAACCAAACAGGACAGACCACUGGUAAUUAUCGAACUUGAAACCACUGCAGAAACAUUUACAAGAAAACCCUACAGUAUUUAAUCGUUAACCUAACACUAGCGCAUUUCAGGAAAGAUUAAAAGAAAAAGAAGGAACUCGGCAAAUAACAACCCCGCCUGUUUACCAAAAACAUCGCCUCUUGCCUUCCUAUAAGAGGUCUAGCCUGCCCAGUGAAUUUUUAACGGCCGCGGUAUCCUAACCGCGCGAAGGUAGCAUAAUCACUUGUUCUUUAAAUGAGGACUUGUAUCAACGGCAUCACGAGGGUUUUACUGUCUCCUUUUUCUAAUCAGUGAAAUUGAUCUUCCCGUGAAGAAGCGGGAAUUUACACAUAUAAGACGAGAAGACCCCAUGGAGCUUCAAACCUAACAACAACUUAACCGUAAAAUCCCUAAUAGUUAUAAAACAAUGCUGUAAGGUUUUGGGUUGGGGUGACCACGGAGUAAAACACAACCUCCACGACGAAAAGGCCACAAUCUUUAUUUAAGAAUAACAAUUCUAGAAAUUAGUAUACUAACGCUCUCUGAUCCGACAAUCGAUCAACGGACCAAGUUACCCUGGGGAUAACAGCGCAAUCUACUUCAAGAGCCCAUAUCGACAAGUAGGCUUACGACCUCGAUGUUGGAUCAGGAUAUCCCAGUGGUGCAGCCGCUACUAAGGGUUCGUUUGUUCAACGAUUAAAAU
RNAcentral lists this ribosomal RNA (1399 nucleotides) under Polypedates colletti (black-spotted tree frog). Its description in RNAcentral is "partial 16S rRNA". It matches the Rfam family "Bacterial large subunit ribosomal RNA", at positions 372 to 2594 of the family's 2925-position model. The record is from RNAcentral. Lineage: Eukaryota; Metazoa; Chordata; Amphibia; Anura; Rhacophoridae.